RNAcentral lists this ribosomal RNA (438 nucleotides) under Escherichia coli 2862600. Its description in RNAcentral is "partial 16S ribosomal RNA". The record is from RNAcentral. Lineage: Bacteria; Pseudomonadati; Pseudomonadota; Gammaproteobacteria; Enterobacterales; Enterobacteriaceae.
UGAGGCCAACGCCCAUAAUGCGGGCUGUUGCCCGGCAUCCAACGCCAUUCAUGGCCAUAUCAAUGAUUUUCUGGUGCGUACCGGGUUGAGAAGCAGUGUAAGUGAACUGCAGUUGCCAUGUUUUACGGCAGUGAGAGCAGAGAUAGCGCUGAUGUCCGGCAGUGCUUUUGCCGUUACGCACCACCCCGUCAGUAGCUGAACAGGAGGGACAGCUGAUAGAAACAGAAGCCACUGGAGCACCUCAAAAACACCAUCAUACACUAAAUCAGUAAGUUGGCAGCAUCACCCGUGAACCAUAAUUAUAUUAUUCGCUGUAUAAUGAUAUCGUUAACCAGAAUUUAAUCUUGUCGGGGUAUUAAUGGCCAGGAAUCAGGAAAAGAAAACGCCCGUCAUUGUGGUGAAAAAACGUCGCGUUAUUUCACCACCACCUGUCGUCGA